Antechinus flavipes (yellow-footed antechinus) is the source of this 5111-nucleotide long non-coding RNA. RefSeq lists it as uncharacterized. The transcript is spliced from 2 exons. The record is from RefSeq and is a predicted model, not a curated record. Lineage: Eukaryota; Metazoa; Chordata; Mammalia; Dasyuromorphia; Dasyuridae.
GUGGGGGUAGGGUGGUAUGUGCGACACAGGGACAUACGCACAUAGACACACGCACAUCAGCACACGCACAUCGGCACAUACGCACAUCGCCACGCACCAGACAGCCAGACAUACGCACAUCGCCUCAGACACACGCAGACAUCCGCAUGCAGACAUCCGCACCCAGACGCAGACCCCCAGACAGCCGCAUCCAGACCUACGCACUUCGCCAUCGCCACCCAGAGUCCUGCGCAUAUCAGACUACGCAGCUCGCUAUCCGCAUCCAGACACACUCUUAGCCAGACACACACGCAGCCACCUACGCAGCCACAUACGCACCCCGGACCGGGGCUGCCGAGCCGGGGGGUGAGGAAGAGGAUGGAGAUGGAUGGUCAGUGGGCGCGGGCAAGAGGGGCAAGAGGAGCAAGCAGCCCUUCGGGGGCUCCGUGAGCUACCUCUGGUUUUUAAUUGAAUGUUCUUUAAUGCUUUUAUUUUUCUUUAAUUUCUGAGCAGCUUUUUUGGUAGAUUGGUUUUCUAUGCUUAGAGAUCUCUGAUUGGAUUGCGGUGUUUAUUUCAAAAAAUGUGUAGAGAUGGUUUCUUUUGGCAAAAGGUUUCUUUGUUAUAAGAAAUGAGCUGAAGGGUGAACGUCAUGAGGUGUUUAAAGGGCUAAAUGUUCUGUGAAGGAAUCCUUUAAAUUUAUUUUUAUUUUCCUGAACGUAAUAGAUCUAGAAUUAAAUUGUGGCAGAAUUCUAAUUAUAACAGAGCACUUAAAUAAUUCUCAAUUGUGUAAAUGAGGUAAAUUGAAUUUUUCCCCUCUCUUCACUGAGAUGAUCUUAGCCUUUGAGUGAUUUCAAAAAUGAACAAAUUUGUGGUCUUUUGUUUUGGAAUGAUAUCUGGUAGCUGAAUGAAUAUUAGAAAAUGUUGUUUUAAAAUGAAAAUAUGGAUUGGUGCAGUCGUUUAUUGUUUACAGAUUAGAAAAACAUUAAUAUGUCACUGUCGUUGGCAUUAUUUUAAGGAACUCUGAAGUAGAAAUUUGCCAAAUUUUGAUUAUCUUAGAUUUAAUUUUCUUUUUUAUGCAAAUUUAAGAUAUUUCAUGCCUCAGGUAGUGUAAAUGUAUUAUAGAUAAAAUAGAUACAUGUUGAUAUAUGAUUUGGGGAAGAUUUUUUCAUAGUACCUUCAAAUAUGGGCAUGAAGCUGAAUAUUGAAUAUUAAGUAUAAGCUAAAAUUAUAUUGUAGAAUAUGAAAAUUAUGUAUUUCUUCAUGCAGACCAUUAGAAUGUUGGUUGAAAUAAUGCAUUUAUACUACUUGGAGUAUGACAGUUGUCUAGAACACCUUGGAAGGGUGUGUUGCUAAUGUAUCUGGCGGCAUUUUCUUGAAAAAUGAAAAUGUUUCUAUUUUUACAAUGUACCAAAUUUCUUUCAGAUCUAAACCUGGAACUCAAGGCUAUUUCCCAUUUUGUUUGUGUGAUGGAACAAUUUAGGUUAAACAAUACAAUAAUCUGUUUUUCAGAAUUCACUAAUUAGUGCAGUUUUUUGGUUCGUUGUUUGGCUUUUUUUUAUUUUGUUUUGUUUUGCUUUGUUUUGUUUUUUUGCAGGCCUAUAAAGAUUCAGUGGAAAAUGAUGGUCAAAGAGGGAAAAUUAUUAACCCAUAUAACAUGUGAUGACCCAUCAAAAAUGAUGACAUCAAAAAAUUAAGUGGUCUAAAAUUUUAUAUAUCUAUAUGUUUUUAUAAAUAAUUAUAUAUGAGGUCUUACACAUGAAUUAGAAUGUAUAUGAAUCCCUUAAUCUUGUCAUCAUAAUAUUACUUCCCCCAGACCCCUCCCCUCUCCUUUUCACACCCAAACUCUUAGAAAAAUCUAUAUAUUCCUUGACUUGAUGUCUCUGGUUCCAUUUAGAUCUUGCAGAAUGAUUUCCAGCCACUAACUGGACUCAAAUCAUUCUCUCCUAUUUUGUCAGUGAAUUUUUUUUUUAAUUUUAGUGAUUUUUUUUUAAUCUAAUAGUUUCUCAUUGCCUCCAAAGGAGCUGUCCUAUAUUACAAAAUAUUUUUUUAACCCAAAGCACUAGGAAGAGAAAGAUACUCAAAAAAGUAAUCAAUACAAUGAAAAAAUUAAAAAUACAUGCUAUAUCCCUCAGUCAUGGACCACCGCUCUUGCAUCUUAAAAAAAAAAAAAAAAAAAAAAAGAGUAAUGCUUAUUUUUUGUAAUUUGGCAACAUGAUUUCUUUAUCACUAACUUUAGUGAUCUUUUUUCAGUCCUCAUCCUUCUUCAACUGAAACUGCUCUUUAGAAUUAUCAAGGAGUUCUUAAUUGCCAAAUUUCUCCCUCCUCCUUCCCUCCCUUUCCUCCCUCCCUUUCUUGAAUUCUCUGCAGCAUACAGCAUUCUUAACCAUCAUCUCUGCCUGGAUAUUACUUCCCUUUUCUGACACUGUAUUUUUCUGGUUCUCUUCCCACCUAUCUCAGUCUCCUUUACUGUAUCAUCAUUCCUGCUUUGAUCCUUAAUUUUGAGUUUUCCAUUUCUCUUUUUCUUCCCUGCUUUCUCUUAGAUAUCUCCUUUGGGUUCAAAAAACACAUCUAUUGCCAAUGACUCCCAAACCCACAUUCCAUCCUUCCUUCCUUUUUUUCCCCUCACUAUCUUCUUAGCACUCUGUUGUACAUGAAAACUUGUACAAAAUGAAUUUAUGAUUGUUUCUCCCUACCCCACCCAAUCCACCCCUCUUCAUUCAUUUUACUACCUUUAUAGCAAAUCCACAUGAAUCCUCAAGCAUUUGGAGCAGUUCAUAUUAUGGAAGACUUUGACUGACUGCCAUGGGUUCUGAAGUUUCCCCAAACAAGGGUACAUCUACUUCGGGGUCUUCUAGAAAUACCUUUAAGGGCUUAUAAAGGUGAUUCUUUAAUGUUGUUGGAUAGAUCGCCCCAUCCCCAAAGUGUUUGCUACAAUAACAGUUGUGAGGCACGCUUAAUAUUUCCUUUAUAUCAUAGCUAUUCUCUAAUGAGCAUAGCAUCUCAUUAUCAUUUAAUUACUUAGUUCCAAAGCACUGAUCCUCAAUGCCUUAUAGGACAUUCUCCUUUCUACCACUCAAUCCCUGAGGAGAAUGGAGUCAAACCUACUAUUACAUAUACUAUAUAUUUAUAUAUAAUACUAUAUAUUAGAGAUAUAAUAGUAUCACUAUUAUUCGAUAUUGGGAGAUUAAACGAGAUAGCAUUUGUCAAGGCUUUAAUCCAGUGCCUGGCAAAUAGCUGUCACGUAAUAAGGGCUUGUUUCUUCUCCUUCCCCUUCAGCGUCAUGUUGUCACUCAUUGUAAGGCAUUUGUCCCACCGAGUACUUCAUGAUGCAGCAUCAGCCUGUUAGAAGCUGAUGCCCCCUCCUUAAGUGGACUAGUCUAUGACCUCAGAAGCCUCCAUUCUGACCUUCCAAGCCCAUGAUGGUCAUUCUCAGACACAGCUCGUGAGCUUCCCGGCUCUCGGGACUGGUUAGACUUAACAAAUGAGCUUGUAGCUAUCUCCUGUGCUCUUGCACCUAAGGCAAUGGCUAACAGAUAACAAAAGACAAUAGAAGGAGCAGUGGGACCAUCUGUUCAUUAGCCAGGGGGCAGGUGGUGAAGAUAAGGCCCGAGUCUGUUUUCACAGGGCCUACAACUGUAGAUCUUGCCUCAUUCUAGCACCUCGGGGAACAAAGGCACAAGGCUGGUAAGUGUCAUUGCGAUACACCACAGUUCAUUCAGCUUCACACGGUCUUGUCACCAUGUCCUGAUGGACUAGAACUAGAUGUGCAUACUCCAGAGGCCUGUGGAGAUCACACCAGCUGCAGCAUUUCUCAUACUUAAUGGUUGGGAUACAAGAGAUUGCAAAAGAGUAUUGAAAAUGUUUUGAAUGGUAUUUGCGUCAGUAAGAUAAAAGCACACUCCAACACACACACACACACACACACACACACACACACACACUCUCUGAUUAAUUUAGAAACGACUGUAUGCUUGGACACAUAAAAUUCUGUUAAAGGAAGGGAUAGUUUGUAUUAUGGGGACUGCUCCAUUCAGAAUAAGGAGGACAGUUUGACUUAGAAUGGAUGAAGGCAACUAAUGCAGAAACAGUGCUUGAAAGACAGCUUGGGGAAAGAGGAAAAAUGUCCUUUUCACGUGGGAGGAGUUUUUAUUGGUUGUGUGUGUGCGCACACGCAUGUCAGUGUGCCAGAAGCAGCAAAAAGUAAUUGGGAGCUUUGUGAACCAGGGUCUUGACUUGGUCAGACCUGAGCUUCAGGAAUACAAUUGGGCUGCUACUAUGUAGAGUGGGAUGAGAAGCGCUGGAGGCAGAGAGACAUGCUAAUAAGCCAAUAAGCAUGUAAUAAUUGCCUACUAUGUACCAUGUGUGGCGCUGAUAAGCUCUCAGGAUAUAAAGAUCACUGUAUUCAAAGAGCACAGGAUCUAAUCGGAGAGCCCAGUCAGACAGCUAUGGACAAAAAAAAAAAAAAAAAGAUGGAUAUGAAAUUAAGAGGAGAUAAUCAACAGAUGGGAAAAUCUUAGCAUCAUGAGGGGAUUGGGAAGGGCUUCCAGGGCAUGUGUGGGAACAGCCUGAGAAAACUUCUGAGGAAUCAGAUGAUAGCGUGUCUUUUUAAAAGAACAGCGAUGAAGGCAAUGUCUCUGAACUGAAAAGUUGGGGGGAGGCAAAAAAGGUGCCUCAGAAGUGAAUAGAGAUUAGAAAGGGGAGAGCUGGAAUAUGCAGGACUUCGAAUGCCUCAGAGAAACAGCACGUGAUAGGGAGUGGUUGACAUUUAUUAGAUCUGAGGUUGGUGUGGUUGGAUCUGCACUUUAGGAAAUCCCUUUAGCAGUGAACAGAGAGGAUGGACUGAUGGGGUACAGCAAGAUUUGUGGUAGGCAAUGGACAAAGUGGCAGACUAUGGGGAUGUUGGUAGCUCUCAAGAGAAAAGAGAUGUUAAAAAAGAGCACCAUUAACUAGGUGUUAAUAAUUUUAACUAGGGCAUACGACCCUCUGAGUAGAAGAAAAGGAGACGUGUGUGAGAUAGAUAUACAUGACUGGAUUUAGAGUAAGUGUGAGAUGCACUGUACAUACAUACAUACAUAAAUACAUACACACACCUUUUAUUCAUUUUUUUACGGGUCCAUUUAAAAAAAAUGUUU